Molecule: ribosomal RNA, 1345 nt
Filed under: Streptococcus sp.
Lineage: Bacteria; Bacillati; Bacillota; Bacilli; Lactobacillales; Streptococcaceae
Description: bacterial SSU rRNA
Rfam family: Bacterial small subunit ribosomal RNA
Source: RNAcentral
AACGCGUAGGUAACCUGCCUUGUAGCGGGGGAUAACUAUUGGAAACGAAGCUAAUACCGCAUAACAAUGGAUGACACAUGUCAUUUAUUUGAAAGGGGCAAUUGCUCCACUACAAGAUGGACCUGCGUUGUAUUAGCUAGUAGGUGAGGUAACGGCUCACCUAGGCGACGAUACAUAGCCGACCUGAGAGGGUGAUCGGCCACACUGGGACUGAGACACGGCCCAGACUCCUACGGGAGGCAGCAGUAGGGAAUCUUCGGCAAUGGGGGCAACCCUGACCGAGCAACGCCGCGUGAGUGAAGAAGGUUUUCGGAUCGUAAAGCUCUGUUGUAAGUCAAGAACGAGUGUGAGAGUGGAAAGUUCACACUGUGACGGUAGCUUACCAGAAAGGGACGGCUAACUACGUGCCAGCAGCCGCGGUAAUACGUAGGUCCCGAGCGUUGUCCGGAUUUAUUGGGCGUAAAGCGAGCGCAGGCGGUUUGAUAAGUCUGAAGUUAAAGGCUGUGGCUCAACCAUAGUUCGCUUUGGAAACUGUCAAACUUGAGUGCAGAAGGGGAGAGUGGAAUUCCAUGUGUAGCGGUGAAAUGCGUAGAUAUAUGGAGGAACACCGGUGGCGAAAGCGGCUCUCUGGUCUGUAACUGACGCUGAGGCUCGAAAGCGUGGGGAGCGAACAGGAUUAGAUACCCUGGUAGUCCACGCCGUAAACGAUGAGUGCUAGGUGUUGGAUCCUUUCCGGGAUUCAGUGCCGCAGCUAACGCAUUAAGCACUCCGCCUGGGGAGUACGACCGCAAGGUUGAAACUCAAAGGAAUUGACGGGGGCCCGCACAAGCGGUGGAGCAUGUGGUUUAAUUCGAAGCAACGCGAAGAACCUUACCAGGUCUUGACAUCCCGAUGCUAUUUCUAGAGAUAGAAAGUUACUUCGGUACAUCGGUGACAGGUGGUGCAUGGUUGUCGUCAGCUCGUGUCGUGAGAUGUUGGGUUAAGUCCCGCAACGAGCGCAACCCCUAUUGUUAGUUGCCAUCAUUCAGUUGGGCACUCUAGCGAGACUGCCGGUAAUAAACCGGAGGAAGGUGGGGAUGACGUCAAAUCAUCAUGCCCCUUAUGACCUGGGCUACACACGUGCUACAAUGGUUGGUACAACGAGUUGCGAGUCGGUGACGGCAAGCUAAUCUCUUAAAGCCAAUCUCAGUUCGGAUUGUAGGCUGCAACUCGCCUACAUGAAGUCGGAAUCGCUAGUAAUCGCGGAUCAGCACGCCGCGGUGAAUACGUUCCCGGGCCUUGUACACACCGCCCGUCACACCACGAGAGUUUGUAACACCCGAAGUCGGUGAGGUAACCUUUUGGA